AUCAUGCAAUACUCUACACUAAGCUAGAUAAAUGCUCUAGUUGAUCACACAGAACACUGAAAAGACAAUCCCAUAUGAAAAUCCAAAAACAAAUAAAUAAACAACUAGAGCUAGAUGAAUGUUCUAAUUGAUCACACUUUUUCAACUAGCUAGCUCAAAGAGCCAUGGAAAAUCAAAUACUAGAAUCAACCAAUCACAAAGCAAUAGAACAAUUGAUGCCACAUAUACUUGCAAGCCAACAAACGAAUAAGGUUGAGUUAUGAAAUUUCCAAACCAAACAGCAAGAAUAAUUCUCGACGGAAUGCAUUUUAGAAGUUAAACCAACACAUAGGAAUCAAAAAACAAUCUUUUACCAAACUCUUUAACUCCAAUCACUCGUCCUGAUUGAAAGUUUAGACAACUACAUUGAAAAAUGAAAAUUUUAGAAAUCAAAUGGACUUUAAUUAACUGAAUCACUCUCAAACUUGUCAAAUAAUUAUAUUCGUACAGUUUCUCAGAGAAAGCCACAACUACAAAAGAUUAUGAUAAUAUCAACUACAUGAUCAGGCUAAACCCCUCAAAUACGCACUCACCACAUUAAACCCACGCAUUCUAAACAAAAAUCCGGGUCAAUUAAUCAAAUUUCCAAUCCUCUAAUAAAAAGCAAUAACUUCAGCCCUCCCCUAAUCCUAUCUAAUCAAACACAAGAACACAAAUUACCAUCAACAUCAAGCAACCCUUCAAUCAAAUCAAUAAUCAUACAAAAAGAAAAGAAAUAAGCUUUAAGCUAAUCAAAUUGCAGAAAACAACACAUACUAAAGCGUAUCAGGGGGUCCAAUA
RNAcentral lists this unclassified non-coding RNA (819 nucleotides) under Hevea brasiliensis (rubber tree). The record is from RNAcentral. Lineage: Eukaryota; Viridiplantae; Streptophyta; Magnoliopsida; Malpighiales; Euphorbiaceae.